Molecule: long non-coding RNA, 42064 nt
Filed under: Ananas comosus (pineapple)
Lineage: Eukaryota; Viridiplantae; Streptophyta; Magnoliopsida; Poales; Bromeliaceae
Description: long non-coding RNA (ACOM_LNC042031)
Source: RNAcentral
GGACUGUGGAGCCUGAGCCCAUUGGGCAGGCACAGUCAGCUGUGAGUGACAGCGCCCCGAUACCUACGGGUAGGGCAGAGAGUUUUGGUCAGGACGGUAGUCCGAGCUUAGAUCUGGGAGCGUGGAAUGCCACGUGUUAGAUCGUGAGAUUGAUGACACCGAGUGUGUAGUGACCCAACCCGAGGACUUGACGUGGUUUGGAGUCUUGGUUGCUCCUGGUUGGAGUGUGUGCGAAUUCUCCAAUGAGAGUGUCGCCCGAUGAUGAUUGGGUCUACGAAGCGAACGAGAGGCGCUAUGCGUAGUUGCGACAGGUUGGGCUGUAAGCCUACGUAGGACUGGUGACCUAUGGUUCACCAAUGAGAUCGAGGUAAACGGUAGGCGGGUGGCCUUAUCGACGAGUUUAAGCUUGAAUUCACGAACAGGAGUUCGUAUGAAUUCGUUGCAAGAGCGAUGUUAGUCGUGGCUGUAGUAUCAAAGGAUAAGGAGAGAAAGUAAAGUGGUCUCUGGGAGACACUUGAGUAAUGAAUAGCCACGUGAGGAUUGAAGCUUGAGGAAAUUGCUCUUCUAUGGAUUGAGAUUCGAGAUGUGCUGAGUGGGCUAUCUCGUGAUGGAACAAGGAUCUAGUCGAGGAUUGAAGCACUCGCGAUUGGUCGAUGCAUCAACGAAAUUGCCUCUGAGCAAUGCCGGUGAUCGAAUCGGAGUGAAAUUUCUCGAUUGGGUGUAUAAUGCAAAGAGCAGUUCCUUACAUGGUGGUAAUACACUUUUGGACUUGCACAUAACAAAUGUGAGCAUAUCCAGUCUCACAUCCUCCGAGGUGGGCCUUUGAACAGUCCAAUAAGUGAAAGGCCACUCCGAGGUGGGAAAGUGCAUUGGAAUUUUCGAUUGCUCGAUAAACCGAGUUGGAGUAUCGAUUGGGUUGAAGUGAGUUAGUUUCGAGGACGAAACUCUUUUAAGGAGGGGAGAAUGUAAGGUACCGGACUUCUAAAAUCAUGAGGUUACGGUGUCCAUUUGGUUGGAGAGCCAUUUGAAUGGUUCCGGUAAGGUUGCGGUGUAAUGUAAUAUACCGGAUUUAAAUAUAAUAAAUAAAAAUAAAUAAAAAUAGUAUGAGAUACUAUUUUUAUUGGAUUUGGAGAAGUGAAAUAUGAGUUAGAAAUGACUUGUGCUGAAAUCGGAAUGAAAACAGAAGAUUUAGAAUUUUCUGUGAGAGACGGGACAGGUAAAUUAGCAGAAAAUGCACAGUCUCAGAAAAUUAUGAAAAUUGGAGGAUAAGUCAGAAAUAUUUUUAUGAGGCUAGAUUUGAGGUUUCAUAUUUUUCUGACACCCGUAGAGUGAGAAAUAAAAUCCGAAAGCUAUCUGAUAAAGAUUGCAGUUCGGCACAGUUUUUGGUGACCAAACGGGGUCGAAGCUGGAAACUUAAGAUAUAUUCUUACUCAGUACGUUAAACCGAGACUACCUGUCAAAUUUGAGCGCAAACGGACAUUCAGAAGGGUUCCGACGGAACUUAUCAGAUUUGAGGGACUAAACUGAAAAGUGGAAUAGUUGAGGGGGCUGCUUGUGGAAAAGAGCAUUGCUCUUCUUCUCCUCCCUCAACCUGCGUACACAACCAGCACACACACACACACACAACACACGCAUGGAGGGGAAAAGAGAGAAAUCUCUUUCUCUCUCUAGAUUUCUCCCGAAGAGAGAGGAUUUUGGUGGAGGUUGAUGCUCAAGGAUGGAUUUUCAUCUUCUCCAACUUCUUCCUCUCCAUUGGAGCAUGCUUUGAAGGUAAGCUUCAAAACCCUUUAAUGGUAUCUCUUUGUAGUUUGGGUUUUAAGCUUCAAGAAUGGAUUUAGAGUUAUUCUAGCAUGCUAAAUAGAUGAUUAUUGCUAGAAUCUAGGAUCAAUUUAGUGAUUUAUUGCCUAGUUGUAACCUAGGGCUCUAAAGUGCAAGUUUUGCUACUAGUAGGGUUUGAUCUCAUUUAACCCUCUGUAAACCUAAUUGAUAGGUCACUGAACGCGUUGGAAGCGACGGUUCGGCGNUUGCUUGGGUUUUAAGCUCUAGAAACGAAUUAGUAGCUUUCCUAGAUGCUAAGUAGAUGAUUUAUGCUUAGAUCCUAAGUUCUAAUGGUGGAUUUUUACCUAUUGCAACAUAGAGCUCCAAAAUGAGGGCUUUAAUGGUAGAUCUCUAAAGAUAGGUCUAAAUGCUUUGGAAAUGGUUUUAGUGGAACCCAUUGAUGCCUAAUAGAUGGUUAAUGCUUGAAUCAUAGAGCAAUUUAAUGAUUUCUUGCAUAGUUGUAAACCUAGGGCUCAAAAUGCUAACUUUCAAAAUAUGAGGGUUUGAUCUCUUUUAACCCUCUGUUUACCUAAUUGCUAGGUCUACGAACGCGUUGGAAGCGACGGUUCGGCGAUUCGUUGAGCCGGUACAAAGAUAUUAAAGAAACGGACGUUAGGCUUCGUUUCCGCCUGGAGGGCCGAGGCGACGUCGUAAAAUCCUGAAAACGGAUUUGAAGCAUCGUACCAAGAAACCGAAGACCUUUAAUUUUCAGAUUGCGGAUCGGAGGUCGUUUGGUGGUCGCGCGCGGAUUGGGUCAAGCCGAGCGGCGUGCGCCGCGGGAGGCCGAUUGCAAGUGACGACAAGCAAUCGGAACGCGAUAAAAGGUGGGGGAGUGCCAUCCCGAAGUCAUCGGGCUUCUUCCUAUGUCUUAGUAUUUAUCCGUUCACAUGUAGCAUAUUGUAUGUUGCUAUGCAUUAUAGGAUGACAAUACAUGCAUUCCUAAUCCUUAUAUGAUGUUUAUGAUCAAUAUAGUAUUAUGAUAUGGAUAUAUGAUGUGAUGGACAUAAGGAUUAUGAGGUGACAUUGGUAAACCUAUGAUGCUAAAUGAAAGAAGAACCUAGUGUUGUGUUUAAAGACAUAGUUUACAAGUGGCAUUGAACUCAUUGUGCUAAAAACACAUAUGACUUGAACUAGUAAUGGAUUGGUUGUUGUACUAGAAACUCUAGUAACAUUGAUCAAGUUGCAUAUUGGGAUAUUGCAUUAUAGGGUACUAGUUGGCAAUUGUUACAUGUCAUGGCAUGCUAGUGAGAGUGUAGUGUUACUUGAUUAAUACUUGUACCUAGUAUGCAUGAGAUUGGGACUUAGUGUGGUGAAACCCUAUAAGGGCAUGAUUAAUGUGGGUUAAACUUGUUGAGUGCAUUAAUCGAUUAAGUUGCAUAUUGUAUUUAUUGCACUUAGGUGCUAGAUGAUUAUGGUCAUUGCUCAUAUUUGCAUGCUAGUAGCUAUACAUCUUGAUGAUUGUUCCAUGAUCUAGUAUGCAUGAUGAUUACAUGAUGAAAACCCUACAAUGAGAACCUAGACCCUAUAUGUGAGAUGAUUAAUGCUUAUAUUGCUAAAGAACUAGUAUGAUGUAACUAGUGUUGAAAUGAGUCUAAAUGACGAGUGGCAUCUAGUUUAGAAAACUAUGAUGAGUGGCAUGUGAUUGUUGAUAACCUUGACAUGAGAACCUUAGUGUAGUUGAAACACUAUGAGAUUGGGUACAAGAACACCUUGAUUCCAUGAUGAGAUUACCCUUAGAGGGUAGGUUGCUGUUGCUCGUGAGAUGAUCACGCUUACAUUGCCUGUCUGCGCUUGGUGGGGUCGCUCCCCCCAGGUUGUGCGCUCCGGAGUUUGGUCACUAGAGAGGCAGCCGUGCUCGCUGCUCGGAUAGCCGCUUGUUAUCCGCAGGCGUACUCGGGGAUAGUCCAGCUCGACAUCCCUAGGAGAUUGAUAUGUGAGCCUUGCUUGUGAACCACGAGUUCACCUUGAGAUUGGGUUACCUAUUGAGCCAUACCCAUUAUUGUUGUUCAUGAUAGCUUGCUUCCAUAGUUGUUGUUGUUGUUGUUCAUAGUAGCUUACUAGUGUUCAUAGUAGCUUACUUAUUGCUCAUGCCUUCAUGAUAUACUAUUCCUUCACCUAUGAGAUUUGAGUACCUAUUGAGUCAUACUCAUUAUUGUUGUUCAUGAUAGCUUGUUUCCAUAGUUGUUGUUGUUGUUCACCUUUGAGAUAUGAGUCGAGUAGACCAGAAUGAGGUAGCUUUUCACCUACUAGAUUUGAGAUCUUAGGCAAAGUAGCCUAGCGGAUUGGGUAAUAACAUGAAUAGCAUAAGAGUAUUGCAUUCAUACCAUGAUUAGACAUAGUGCAUUGCAUAACUAUGUUAUAGUUGUAUUCAUUUCACUGUUGAGGCAUAUUAGCAUGAUAGUAGAUUGUUGCUAGAUGAUGUUCCAUGCAUACUUUGCAUUUGAUGGCAUAGUAGAUAUAGUAGUAGUAUUUCCAUAUAUCUUUCUAUCUAUCUAUCUGUGCCAGCUUGGACCUAGUGGGAAGAUCGGCGGAGUCGGCGGCCGAACCCACUGGGAACUAUAUUUAUAUAGUUCUCACCCCGUGUGGUUUUGGGGUACAGGUACACAUGAGAGCGGAUCGACAGAGGAUCGCAGUUUGGGCUUAGCGCCCUAGUGCUAGUUGAUAGUUUACUCUCCUAUUUUGCAUUAGAGUUACCCUAUACAUGUAUUGAGAGUAGAUGAUGUAUAGGAUGUGAGGUAUUUUGAGAUAAAUGUAAACUAAUGUUUAUCUUUUGAAGAAUGUAAGCUUAUGUUCAUAGUUUGGAAAAGAAUGCAAGUUGUAAUUAAAUGUAUCGAGUUGAAUGGUUGUAAUAGAAUAGUUAAGUAUCUCUCUUUUGUUUCACUUGUAUGUCUUCUACUUGUGACGCUUGCUCUUGUAAUGUUCAGCACUGUUUGUGCUCUCGCUGUUGUCGCAUGAUCAUGUAUGUAUUCAAGUUGAUUUCCUGGGGACUUGUUGUACAUGAUCUCGUUGUUUAGCCUUGGGCGGACAGGGGAGACUGUCCGUUCGGCGUCCGUUCGCCGCGCCCGAACCGUGCCAAAUCGGUAGCGGCCUCGGGGCGGGGACGUGACAAGUUUCGUGAAGUAAGUCGGAGUCUUGAAGGAUCGAAGCGGAUUGAUGAAGAUUGAAGAAUUCAAAAUUUUGAAGAUUUUGGAAAAUUGCUCACAAUGUGAAUCACGACGUAAAGGUAGAGUUUUACUUUAUGUUAUGGUGAUUCAUACUUAGUUAUAGGCAUUAGAAUCAUAAACUCAAAGUUUAAUGGAUUAGAAAGUGCCUCGGAACGUUGAAAAUCCGAAACAAUGCAAAAUCUGAAAAAAUGCAUUGUGUACCGGUACAGCAAGUGCCACGUACCGGUACAGCCAUCAACAUUGGCAAUGUAUUUUUGUUCCGUCAUUAUGUACCGGUGACAGCCUUUCGUGUACCGGUACACAGUGUAAAAUCGUGAAAACUUUAUAAUCCUACUCCGUUUUGAUUCUAAAGUCUAUAAAUAAGCUAUAGGGGUUCUCUAACUGAUCAAGCAUCAUAAGAAUACAUGUUUGAGAAACCCUAGAGGCUCGGAUUUCAUUCUAAACCUAUUUUCUACAAAUUAGCCUCUUUAGAUCAAAUCGAGAUAUCGUUUCGCAUUCUCUAUAUUUCGAUUUGAUCUCCGCUUCGCUUGGAGUUCUAUUCCCUGGUUUCUACUAUACUCCUAAGCGAAGGAUCACCAUAAUCAUGAUGCUCUUCAUGAACGGCGUCGUGGAUUCGGCGUGAACGAAGGCUGUUCGUGAAUUCGGAUCGUGGGCUCGUGGAUUCGAGUGGCGUCGUGGAUUCGACGUGAUUGAAGCUUCGUGGAUUCGAAGUGGAGGCGUUCGUGGAUUCGGACGUGAGGGCGUGGACAACCCGAAAGAUUGCGCGAAGAUUCAUAGGAGGUUAAGAGAGGUUGAGUCCGUGGUGUCGGUAAUCACCUUGUAAUCUUUUCUCUUAGUGAAUUAUUUUUUCACGUGUUGGUCCCGUGGGUUUUUCUCCAAGUUGGAGUUUUCCCACGUAAAUCUCGGUGUGCUUUUUAUUUUCCGCAUUUAUUUUUAUUGCAUCGAGAUUUGUGAUUUUUGGCCUUUCACCUAUUCACCCCCCUCUAGGUGAUAGAUACAAUCUAGAUAGAUCUUUGGGCUCCUCAAAACUUUCAGUGCUGAUCGCACUGGCGUGAUCCGUUCGCAAAUCUGACGGACGGAUCUGCGGAUAAUGCGCGUUGUUUGUGGAGGGGUCUUAGAUGGCAAAACGGUAUUCUUGCGAAAAGUGCGACAUUUUAUGUACUGUUCUGCGUGAAACCGGAUUGGGAGGUGUGUUCCCGCGUUUUACACGCACUGUGAGGGACUCAGUAUUAAUACUGAGGUUUGGUGUGAGGGAAGCCGUCGCGCAGCCGCCAUCUUCCUCCCUCUCUAUCUCUCUCUCUUCUCUCGGUUGAGAGGAAGCUCGAGGCUGAAACGCCUCCAGGCUUUUCCCCAGAGUCAUCCCGGAGCCCCGGCGUCCCUCCCCGCCGACCGUCGUCGCCUCUGCGCGCCACCGCUGCCGCUGCUACAUCCUGCAACUAGCUUGGCCGAGCUCAGGCCGAGCAGACUGUGCGGCCUCACCCUCGCGUCGCCGCCGCCCUCGGCCACUCCUGUGGAACCCCUCCGACCUCAAGCGGUCAGUCGCCGCCGCCCCGAGCUGCCCUGAGCGCCGUCGCGCAACCGCAGCAACUUGCUGCCAAGCUGCUGCAGGUACGGUCGAGCCUCGCAGUGCCGGGCUCCCUGCCGCCGGUCGUCGUCCCAGACCUUCCCUUUCGGUCCCAAAGGGACCCCGCAGUGCCCCUCCAGCCACCCCGACCCUCGCCGUGGCCGGAGAAGCUCGCUGAGCCCGAGCUUCUUCCUUGCGGGCUUGGCUUGCUCCGCCGAUGCCGCCGCCGCACCUCGCCGCCGUCCAAGGUGAGCACCGUACUCCUCCCAUCCCCCGCACCCGCCUCUGGCCCGCGCGUACCUCGCCGUGCCGCCGGAAGCCGGCCGAAGCAAGCUUGCUCCGGCCAAGCCCGAAAUAGGGCUAUUCCUCGGCGGUUUGCUGUUCCGAGCAACCCGAGCCUCCCCGAUCUCUGUGGAAGGGAGCACGAUGAUCAUGCCAAAUUUCUGAUCGUCGUGCUCACCUUACAUUCUGUCGAGGAGACUCUGUUCCAUUGUUUUGGCCGUGUCGACCCUGUGGAGCCUUUUUGGCUGCUGUUGCGGGUUUGCGCGCAUUUUUUCGGUGAUCCGAAGCUGUUCCAAUGCCUCCGAAGGUGAGCACGGUGAUCGUUGGUCACUGCUGAUCACAGUGCUCACCUCACUUUGGAUCAACGGAUUCGGGUUAGUUCUGUUCGGCGUGAUUUUCGCCGACUGCGCGCUGUUUGCAGAAGUUUCGAGUUGCUCCCGCGCCUCCCACAGUGAGCCAUUGUGCUCCGGACCAUGAGCACGGCCUUCGGUAUGUCGAGACCUGUCAGUACACGUCUCGGCAGACCUUGGAAGUCCUCGGUUUGCGUGAAUAAGCCACUUGAUCGUCCAAUUUAUAUAAAAUAAUAGGAUUUUAUGUAAAUAGAGGGACUUUUGCCCAAUUAGGCACCUAGUGGCUACUGUGGGCAAUGUGUAUGCUUGUGUGGUGACCUCUGGACUGAUUGUCCAUGAUCUGAUAGCCUUCGCGGAAAUCGAGAAGUCGAUUUCGGUGCGUUUUUCGGCGAAAUUAGCCGAAAGAACGCGGUUUCAGUUUGGAUUUCUUCCGACGUGGUUUGUUUAUCCUGUGUAUUGUCGCUGAGCCUUGUUGGCUGGUCACCAUCGUCAUUUUGUGGGUUCGGUGAUGAUGGGUGAGCGACGGUGGGUUCAGGUGUCGAAAUAGACGCUUCCGGGAACCCGUAUUCGUACAAUUAUCCGGCGAUAAUUGUGUAGUGGUGUUAUCUUGUGUUUCCUGCCAAGACAUCCAAACAAGAGUGUUUUAUGGCAGCGGGUGACUCGUGACACGAGUCGGUGAGUUUCGGGACACUUAGUGGGUCCCGACGGCAUCCCGACGUGGUUUUCGGGACUUCCGGUAAGUUAUGGUGAUCGAUUUUGGGAAACCGAUUCGGGGACUUGUGUGGGGGUUUGUGAGUUGUGUACUUCAGGUUAGUGGUUUGGAUACUGACUUAGUGGAUCUUCUUAGGUCCGGUAGACUCCGUGCACACUCAGUGUUCCGACGCGACAGUGACAGGUGGGUGCUUCGAGCUAGUAGUCGGUGAGAUCGUUUCACCCUUCCUCUGUUCUUUCAUAUCAAUAUCGUAGUCUCUACAUGUCAGUUGAUUGUUUAUCGUUUCUUUAUCGUAUCUCUUUGAUUGCAUUUGGAUAGUUGUGGAUAGACAUGUAGAGCAGGUUGCAUAUAUAUUGUAUCUCUGUGGACCUUGGGUCCAGGCAACACAUCGACUCCUUAUCGUGUGUUUCGAUCUGGUUGAUCGUGGUUUGACGUUGUACGCCUUUGUACCUGGCUUCGGCCAAGGCACUGGUCUCUUUUUGUCGGUUUUCGUUUUGAGCAUAUCAGCAUGAUUUAGUCACAGCACUGUGUAUUCUAUACACUAGGUUGGUUUGGCCACCAACCAAGGGGUGUACGUAUCCAGAUAGGUCAUCGAUGACGCAUGAAUAAGUUGGCAGUGUCUACUCUGUGACAGGCAACGCUUGAGGUCUGUGGACCAAUAUAGCAGCAUCAGAUUGGGUUUGAUUUUGGACCAUUUACCCUUGAGGCAUCCGUUUAGUUGAGUUUUUGUUACUGUAGUAGUUUCGUUCUUGCUAAGUUAUUAUCCUGUUUCUAUUACUACUGUAGUUGCUCUUAUAUCAUGUUCAUAUCUGUUAUAGCUACUGUAGUUUGUUUUCGUAUAUCAACAUCUACACUUGUUUGUCUAUCUCCUUUGGUUUUCGUGAUUACGGCUUGCCUUCGUGGCUCUGUCGUACCCACUAGGAAACCAUGGUUGCGGUUUCUCACACCCAUUCCCCCCAGGUGACAUGGACGAGGAGUUGGAUUUUGGGCUCGAUGGGAGGACGAUCUAACUAGUCUGGUAUAGCAACUGUCACCCUGAUUACUUUCAUUUCGGCACUUAGUAGUUUUAAUAAUAAAUAGUUCAGUUAGAUGAUCAUAUUGAUGUUUGAAUAUUUGUGAAUUAGUUUUAGUGGAUGAUUUACUAUGAUGCACGAGAUUGGAGUUUUCAGAUCUGUGGAUUUUGGUUCUCGUAUUUAUAGAUUUACGCAUCGUGGUUUUCUACCCCUCGAGGUAGCUGGUUUUUAAAAUAGAGUUUCCAUGUGGAAAAUAAUUUUAAAAAGGUUUUCGAAUCGUUUUCAUGGAUGAUUGAAUUAGAAUUUAAAAAUAAAGCUUCCGGGUGGGGAGCACUUUUAAAUAUGAUGAUUGUUGUACUGUGCAUUGCAUCAUCCAGCGCCUAAGGAGUGUUUAGAGGCAUGCAUCAUCUCUAAGGAUUGCUAGCUGUAUGCAAAUACAUAGCAUGAAUUAUUUGUUAAUUGGUAAAUGUAAACUGUGGUUGUGAUCCUGUUGAUGUUGUUGGCACGCCGUGCAAAUACAAAGGAGACUCUGUCCAAGUGGAUGGAAGAACUUUGUAUUUGUGGCAGGUUUGUACGUCACUUGGGCAAGGUUGAAAAAAAUAAAAAAUAAAAAAUAAAUACGGCACGUUUUCCGCAACUCUGAUUUCAAAAUGGUAAUGAAUUUUAAAAAGGCUUUUAAAAUUGGCCCCGGGGUGUGACAUCUAAUUUUAAUGUCAUCUCUAUAUCCAUCUUCACCAUAAGAAAAUAAUAAAGGAUACUGCAUUGGAAGAUAAGAUGGAUGUAGUUCAUGUAUUCGUUAUAAUAAGCCAGUUUGAGUUUCGACUACAAUAUCUGUUUCAACAGUGUUCUUUUCAAUAUCUCCAACAAUAAGAGCCGCCACUUCAGAUGAGGUUGGAAGAUUGUAUCUUCUUCCAUCAGUUCCUCUUUUUCUUAAUAGCCUCAAUUUUAAGUCUUGAUACUCUUCUACCACAAAUCUAUCUCUUACCAUUCUGAAUGAUUUGGCUAAACAAUUGCAUUCAUCUAGCAUACUUUUGAGCUCGUUAACAAUUGUGGUGUCAAACUCAUCAGAACUUCUACUUGAACUGCAAAAUCAUUUUAAAAAAUCACUAUCAGGAUUAUACAAAACAUGCAUGCUUUUCAUAUUAUUUAUAACUAAACAACAUAAUUUCAUAUUAUAGAGAUGAUACUUUCAUAUCUUAUGGCACUUAUUCUAUUUAAAACUUCAUUUUCUGCAUCAUAAACGUAGAGCUGCGCAAAUCUCGGACGCGAGCCUUGAGUUGGAAGCAAACUUCCAAUUAUAUGACAAUUUUGGCCAUGUAGUUUAAAUACGUAUGGCCCCCCUCCCUGAUUUAUUGUAGAGUCAAUUUUUCCUCCCAUUGACGUAAAUGAGAACAUCAUAUUGUAAGAUCUGAUCUUUUUUAAAAAGUGAUUGCUUCUGGAGUCUCUGUUAUGCAAUAAAUUAUUGAGUGUAGAAGGUGGAUCUUUGAGCAAUGGCAGUUCAACUUUUCCUUGCACGCAACAUAGAGAAUAUCUCGGCCUAGUUAAUCUCGUCCUUCUCUAACCUUUCUUCAUACCAGAACAAUGCACCGCAAAAUUCACAUGCAUAAGUAGGAUCUCCCAAAUUCCAAUAAUCUAAUAACAUGUCAAGUAUAAAAAUACAUUACACAUGGGGCAAUGUUGGGAAGUACCUUCUUUUAUAUAUGAAGCAUUAGAGCAAUAACGUUUAGAAACUAUGGACCAGACCCGUAGGGAAAAAGUUAAGUUAAUACCUGUUGCAUCCAAAUUGUACUGUGACUCUUCUUCAUCAACAUCAACAUCAAUAUCUAUAAUUUUAAAAUAACUUGAAAUUAUAAAAUGAAUACAAUAAUUAAAGUUUGAAAAUAUAUUUUGAUAAAAAUGAAAAUUUAAAAUUGAACUGCAAUAGAAAAAAAUUGUAACCAAUAAAUACAUAAAUAAGUCUUUAUACUAAUCACAUGAUUAUUUAAAUAAUGUAUAAACUUAUUUAUCUAUCGUAAAGAACAUGAAAUUUUUAUGUGCUUGUGUCAGCAAAAAAUAUACUCAUGUAAUUUAAUGUACACGAUUUUUUUUCUUAUCAUUAGAAAAAAUUUGAAGAUUGAGAAUAAGUGAAAUGAUUGUUUGUUUGUUCUUUUUUUGCUUUUUGGCAAAAAGUGAGUGAAUAUAAAUAAUAAGAAACCAAUAUUAUAAGAGUUAGUUAUAGUUAAUAGAUUCUCACAUGCUGCAUGCUUUUGGAUCUUAACGCACUUUUCACUCAUAAUUAAACUUCUCUUCAAUCUCGCAUUCUUUUUCUGCAUAUAAUCGAUAGAGGAACUUACAAAAAAAUAGUAUCCAACAAAAAAAUGACACCAAUCUUUUUUUUUGAAAGUAAAUCAUAUAAAAAAAUAUGUGAAAAAUAAUCAUUCACUUACAUCAUAAUUAUAACAGUACUUGAUCUUAAAAAUCAAAUAUAACAUCAAAUACACAAUAAAGAAUGGGUCCUAACAUCAAACAUCAAAUACUUCAAUUACUAAAUCUCAAUGGUAUAUGUUCACCACUGUAUAUCCAUUUUGUGUAUUGAAAAUUAAUAUAGGUAAAAAGACAUAACUUUAUCACUAUGCCACCCUAUUUUAAGAAAGAUUAAACUAAAUAUAAAAUAAUUAUCUACAUAAUAAAUCUAGGGUUGUAUAAUUUUGAAUAUAAUUUGAAGAUGAUAACUUUAUCAUUAUCCAAGAAAAUACCUUCGUCAACAAUGUGGUUGGCACAGAAUCCAAGAUGAUUAGGACCUCUAGUAUUAGCACCAUCUUUUAGAUCUUUGUCAAGCAUUGAGAAUUCCACAUCCUUAUUAGCAUUCCAUGAAAGUGACUCUAAUACGUUUUUAUCUUGAAUGAUAUGCUUUCCAACUCGGAUUUGGGGAGGGAAAUAUGUGUUUGAGGUAUUCACAUAAUCUGGAUGAAUGAUGGAUGAAAAAGAAGAGUAGGUAAUUGAUGUCCUUUCGAAAUGAUGGGUAGAUCGUUUAUCACCAUUAGAAAAGCAAAGCACAGAAUUAGCUGAAAGACAAAAUCAUAUAAGUAAGCAUUUUGCAGCAGUAACCAUAGUAAUUAUAUCCAAACUAACGAAUAAAGAUACUCACAAUUUGAAAUAUCACUCGGAGGAGUUCUUGACACGCUAAUAUUGCUCACCAUAUGGCUCAAAUUACUCUCAAGAUUUUGAGAACCAUUAGAAUUCGAGAUAGGCACUAGAAUUAGAUCUUGAACAAAGAAAGGUAGAUAAAAAUGUCAACUUAAGUGGAGAAAAAGAAUUAUAUUGGUUGUAAAUAAAAGUCAAUAAAUAGUAAAGUAUACAUAAAAGAAACCAAAACUUAUCAAGAGCUUACUUUCACAUGGAUAUGAGGUUUUCAUUUUCUUUCCACGCAUGAUCAUUGCCCUUCUAAUCCUUGCUUGNAACAAGAUCUAUACUCUUGAUCUUGAUUACAAGACCCCUAUCAUCAUUUUUUAAAGAGUAUUCAUUUUCUGUCGUUCAUUUUUGUGUCUACUUGAUGGAUAAGAGAACAAUAUCGAAAAUAUAUGAAAUUUGAUUUUUAAACACUUCAAGUGGUAUAGAUUGUGUUCAACGGUGCUGAUCGUCGAUUUGGAGACUCCAUCAUCGAAAACAAAUGGGUGGCAACGGAGCCCGUUUGCUAUCGAUAGUAUUCCAGCUCAACUCUAUCUAUACUAUAUAUAAAAGCGUAUAGGAAUUCUGACAAUGACAGACGGAAUCCAAAAGGGAAUAAAAUAAUAUUCCUUAUGAAUGGUUAUGAUUAAUUUGUUAAAAGUAUCUCAAAUAAAAAUGAACAGUUAUGAGGAAUUCCGACAAUGACAGACGGAAUCCAAAAUGAAUAAAAUAAUAUUCCCUAUGAAUGGUUAUGAUUAAUUUGUUAAAAAUAUCUCAAAUAAAAAUGAGCGAUUAUGAUCAAUCUAUUAAAUCUUUACUAUAUAUAAAAAUCUAUUCUCUAAAAAUGGUUAUGAUCAAUUUGUUAAAAAAAUAUCCCAAAUAAGAAUAGUAAUAAUCAAUCUAUUAAAAAAUAGCAUUCCUAUCCAUCUACAAAUUCAAUCCUACAAACGAUUAUAAUCAAUUUGUUAAAAAAUAUUUCAAAUAAAAACAAACGGUUAUGAUCAAUUUGUUAAAAAAUAGCAUUCAUAUUUAUCUAUUGAUUUGAAAUAAAUUGUAAUAAUUGUUACGUGCAUUUGCAUGUACACUCAUAUAUAUAUAUAUAUAAUUGUGAUCCAUGUAGCAGAUGUCCUUUUAAAUAUAAGUGGAAGGAGUUAUGCACUUACUAAGAAUAUAAAUACACACACACAUACACACACAAUUAUAUAUAUAUAUAUAUGAGUGUACAUGCAAAUGCACGUAAUAAUUAUUUAAAUUUAUUUAAACUCAAUACAAAUUUUUAAAUCAUAUUUAUUCAAAAGUUUAGAAUAAAAUAUUUUUUAAUUUUAUAUGUUAUAUUUGAAAGAUAUGAAUCCCGAUGAUCUAAAAGGUAAAUAACACCUAGAGGGGGGGUGAAUAGGUGUAAAACGGCAAAAACAAAAACUCUCGAUGCAAAUAAAAGAGAUGGCGAAAAAUAAAAACAGCACACCGAGAUUUUAACGUGGGAAAACUCCAAUCCGCAGUGAAAAAUCCACGGGACCGAUCACGCGAAGAAAAUCCACUAAGAAAACUUGAGUACAAGUGAUUUAACCAAAAUACAUAACUCAAUUUACCGAAUUCCCGUUGUUGAUGGUCUUCGCCGGUCCUCGAUCGAUAGGAAUCCUCCAAUCGACAUCGCCGCAACUCCUUGCUGCGUCAACGCCUCAACUCCUCGAAGCGUCCACCGAAUCCUUAGCUUAACGCGAGAUCCACGUGCCGAACCUCCUUCCGGAGCUUGUAUAAUCGAUGAUUUGUGGUGAUUAACACUUAGAAUACCAUAAGCAAUGAGGGUUCACCUUCUAAUCAAACAUCUACUUGAUUCUCGAAGAAUAUCUCGAGUUAAAAUUGAAGAAUCAAGUCGAUCGUUGAUUAUAUGAAACUUGUUAUAUGAAUAAAAUUAUAAGAAUGUGAAAACAAGUUUCUAGGGUUUUAGAACAGUAGAAAUUCAAAGCCUUAACCCAUAUGAUGACCCCCAUGGCUUAUUUAUAGGUUUUGAAGACUUAGAAGUAGACUAGGAUUGCAAAAAGUCUAUUUUAAAAACUGGUGUCGUCCUCAAGGACCGGUCCUCUCGAGGAGACCGGUCUUUGGGAGACCGGUCCCUCGAGUGAGAGACCGGUCCCUCGCUGCGUGACAGAAAACACAACGUUUGGGAACCGGUCUCUCAUGCCAGAGACCGGUCCCUCGCUGCGUGACAGAAAAUCCCAUGUUCGGGAAUCGGUCUCUCUUUCCAGAGACCGGUUGCCUCAACAUCCCACGCAGUGAGGACCCUUGGGGAUCGAUCUCUCAACUCUGGGACCAGUCCCAGAACACUGAAAGUUCAGUUUAAGUGUUUUAAAGCAAUCUAAGUCUUCUGAACUUAUUGUAAUUAGAUAAAUUCACCACAAAUGAUCUAUUCUUCAUACCUGAGGUGCCAAGCUUUCCAAAUGAGUCUUUGCUCUUCAAAUUGAAUCUUCUCUUCAAACUACCGCGAUCAACUCUUCAAGACUCCAUUCGAUUUUACGAAAUCCGCCAACCUAGAAAAUCCUUAACAAUCUCCCCCUUUGGCGAUUUCGUGACAAAACAUAUUACAAUGCUCGUACACAACUCAGAAACAAUAAAAAGAAUAUCAUUGCAAUCACAAAACGACAACCUCCUGCAUGAUCGAUCCAAUAAAAGAAAAAUUACACUUUUCACACAUUCCUAAUACAAACUCUAUAACUUAAACAUGGAGUCUUGAAGUCUUGAAUAUUCCUGCAAAAACAUUCUUAAAACACAAUCAAGAUUCAAGAAUACUUAUCAUAUCAAAAGAUCAAACAUAAACGUCAUAGUCAGUCAUCAUCAAAAUACCAAACAAAGAAUCAAGACGAAUCAACAGUCAUAGUUCGCAUCUAAAUUUACAUAACUAAGCACCAAACAAAAAUGAAGCAUCAUCAUCAUGAGCAGCAUCAUAGUCAGUCAUCACGAGCAUCUCCCUCUUUUUGUCAGAAAGCGCCAAAAUGACACAAGGAGGAACUCCGCAAAACCUAGUCCGAGUCACCACCCGGAGGUAAAUCCGCACUGCAACAACCUAACUUGUCGAAAAUUGCUUGCAUCAACCGUUUGAUGUUGCUCACAUCUUUUUUUAUCACAGCUUGUUCCUCAGACAUCUUCCUCAGCUCCUCAGAUAAACGCUGCUGCUCGCAACACACAGUCAGAAAUCUCCACAGAAGGACGUGAGGAAGUAGGAGCAGCAGGAGGUGGAGAAGGUCGCUGAGACGGACAUCAAAGCUGCACAUACGACUUCACAAACGUCGGCCCACUUAUCCGUCCCAGACUAUGCUCAUAGGAUGUACAAUGCGUAUCCACCUCAUAAAGUCGCAGAAUCCUCAUGAUAAUCAACGGGAAAGGCAACCGCUCAUUCUAACCUGAAGUCUUAAUAUCCUUUGCCAUUCUCCGCCAAAUUAGAAACGGGAUGUUCAAAUUGAUAUUCUUUGCCUUAACAAUAUCCGGCUUACCCAACAAAUACAUGUAGAGGAUACGAUCCUAUCUCAAAAUCUUCGUGUUUGCAAGGUGCAAAAUGUUAUAGCAAACCACGAAGUUCAAAAACCUGUACUCCAUCUUGAAAUCCUUAGACAAUACCAUAAUCCCGUUUGAUUCUGUACCCGGCAUGCAAAUAGUAUUCACAAUACGAUUCCAAUCCCGAAGUGAGUCAAAACCGGCCUGCAGAUACUCAACUCCCUCAGUACGAGCAUCCAUCCCCAGUACAGAUGCUAUCGUAUCGGGCGUGAUAGUCAACUCGACGCCACGUACCGAAGUGGUGAACAUGUACGGGCCGCCGUCAGAGUCACUCAAAUGUCCCGCCCGCAUAUAGAAUUCUCUAAUAAGCUCUAGGCAGAAACCUGUUUGCUCUGAAAAAUUGCAAAUCUCAUGCAAAUUACCAUGUUCAAAUAAAUCUUGAAAUUCCGAUACACGCUCAAUGAUAUUUGCGACGCUUACAUCACGUUCACCAAUGCAGUGCUUUGAGGAGUACAUAGAUCGUCGGCGGGAAUCAACGUCCUGAACAGAAUAUCGCAGAAGCUCAGAAACUGGCUCUCUAAUGUCGACACCACCUGACUUCCUCCGACCUCCUGUAUCAGCCCCUUGAUCUGCGGCUUUGCCUUUUCCCUUUUCAGCACCUCUUCCUUUCCCUUUUUCUUUUCCUUUUCCUUUCUCUUUGUCCUUUUCAGUGAUUGCGAGAGCUUUACCCUUCUUCUUCGAAAGCACUUCAGGAGUAAGUGCCUCCCAAUCGCGCUCAUCAGACUCAGAUUCUUCGCCCGGAGCAUACUCGCUCCCCUCGUCCUCCGGGUGAUGCUCAACAGGUCGCUUAGUCCAAGACCAUUGACGUUUGCUGCCGCGACCACCACCGGCCAUAAGAACCACAAUAACAAGUAGCCACGAGUACAAUAUCUAAGAAGCCCAUGUUAAACACAAUGAUUUAUACAUAUUGAACAUAAAAACAAUUGUUUUUUAUUCCAAAAACUUUAGCAAGUUCAUAUGUAAUAUGCUAGAUAAUCCUAGGGCCACAUAAUCAUGAAAAUCAUGGACAAAUUAUGCAACAAAAAUCAGUAAAAUCACAUUUUUUCGAAAAAAAUUGAAAAAUUAAGGUUUUGAUGGUGAAGACUUAGUAAAAUCAACUAAACAAUUGCAAAAAAAUCCUGAAUAACAUGUUUAGAGGUAAGAACAGGGCAAAAAUGGAGAGAUCCAACAACAUUAUGAGAUCAAACCCCAAAAAUCUGAAAAUAAAGCACAAUUUCGGAUUAUAAGGCAACAAAGAAAUAAAAUCCGAAACUCUUACCAAAAACACUUGUAAAUCCACAGAAAAAGGAAGAAAAUCACCCUGGGGAAGUUAGAAGCUCGGGAGAGAAGUUUGAUGAGAUUUGGUAAAGUAAAAGAAAACAAACCGCAAAACCCUUAUAUCGGUUUGGGCGGAGGGACCGGUCUCUCCAAGGCUGGGACCGAUCCCAGAGCCAAAACCCAAAAAAUUAAUUUAGGUUCAAAAUUUUUCAAAAAUUUUAUAUAAUAUCCUCAAAAUGUCCAACACCAAAAAUACUCAAUUUCCAUCCCCAAUGACUUCCAAUAAAUAAAUUUUGAAAAAAUCAAUUUCAAAGUCAUUCAAUUUGUCAAAAAUUGUUGAUCCGAGAAGCAAAUAAAAUUCUUAAUAAGUAUCGAAUAAAAUUCCACACAUCAUGCAAGAUCUAGGAAUUAAUUGUAUCGUUUUAUCAUCAUAUUUGUUAAAAAAUUGAAUAAAUAAAUCUCAUAAUCGUGAAAUUAAAAUAAUACCCUCAAUUUGAGUUAUGCACAUUAUUCGAGAGAGGAGUGGCUCUUUGAGCAUCUUUUGACAAACCACCUUAUAUCGCCUAGGAGAUGUAUUAAACAUAUUAUUAGAAUUUUACUAUCUCCACAACAUCUCAUAUUUAUUUAUUCUUUAUUGCCUUUUAGCUUAUAGAGAUACUUUGAUCAUCAUGUGGUAGCUGCACACACUAACCGGACGACCGGGGUGGUAGCUCUUUCCUCCAUGUGGUGGUAGUUUUCACACUCCCAGCAGGGAUGUAACUCUUUCCACAUCUUUUGAAUUUAAAAAAUUUUCAUAACUGGAAAGACUCCUCCAAAAUUAGUGCAACCCUCAAGCCAAAAAUAUUAUCUCAAUUUCAAAAACAGAGAAAUAGUUAUUCAUCUCAUAGCUAAUAAUCAAACAAACCGAUUGCAACAAUCAAAGUUCGAAGCAUGAGGUGUUGAAUUUAAUUCAGUAUACAAAAACAGAAUUUCAAUGAUUUAGUCGUUCAAAAAUUAUGACAAUAGAGAAUAACAUUGACAGUGAUCAAUCAAAACAUAAUAUGAAACAAUUAAAGUCAUAUGAUAGAGCUAACAAAAUCAUGAAAUUCACAGCGACACCAUCCAUGAAGAUCAAUCAUCUCUCAAAAAUAAUCAGGAAAAACCAAAAACAUGCACAGAAACAAAAUGGAAUAUGCGCAUGAUCUAUGGCCCAAUAGAAUGUAUCUAGAUUGAAGGAUUCAUACCAAUAGCCUUUCUUAAAUGUAGAAAACGUUCUUGAUCCAAAGGCUUAGUUAAAAUAUCCGCGAGUUGAUUUUCAGUUGAAAUAUAUUCAAGUUGAAGAACGUUUAAUUCAACCAAUUCUCUUAAAAAGUGAUAUCUUAGUUCAAUAUGCUUUGUUCGUGAAUGUAAAACAGGGUUUUUUGAAAUAUUAAUAGCACUCGUGUUGUCACAUAGAAUUGUAAAAGUGGUGGAGGAGAUCCGAUAAUCACUCAAUAAGCUUUUCAUCCAUAGUAACUGUGUAGAGCAACUACCGGCCGCAAUGUAUUCUGCCUCAGCAGUGGAGAGUGCAAUACAGUUUUGUUUUUUACUAUGCCACGCAACCAGACAGUGGCCUAUAUAAAAGCAUGCUCCACUGAUGCUUUUUCGAUCAUCUGCAGAACCGACCCAAUCCGCAUCCGAGUAGCCGAUUAGGUCCAAAGACGUCCCCAUCGGAUACCAUAGACCAUAAGCGGUUGUACCUUUAACAUAUCGUAUGAUUCUCUUAACCGCUUUCAAAUGAACUUCCUUCGGAUUAGCUUGAUAGCGAGCACAAAUUCCCACACUAAAAGCAAUAUCCGGUCUACUUGCGGUCAAAUACAGUAAACUGCCGAUCAUACUUUUGUACUGUUUCUCAUCCACACUUUGUUCUUCAACAUUCACUCCAAGUCCUUUAUUACUUGUUCCCAUUGGUGUAUCAAAGUUCUUUGCUCCAUCCAAACCGAAUUUCUUAACCAAUUCCUUUGCGUACUUAGUUUGAGACAAAUGAAUUCCUUCCUUUGAUUGUUUAACUUGAAGACCAAGGAAAUAUGAAAGCUCACCCAUCAUAGACAUCUCGAACUCACUAGUCAUCAACUUUGCAAAUUCAGUGGCAACUGUAUCUUUAGUUGCUCCAAAGACAAUGUCAUCCACAUAAAUUUGUGCCACUACAAAGUCAUUUUUAGUGUGUUUUACAAAAAGAGUUCUAUCCGCUCCCCCUCGGUUGUAUCCCUUUUCUAAAAGAUAUUUUGUUAAUCGUUCAUACCAUGCUCGCGGUGCUUGUUUGAGUCCAUAAAGUGCCUUUUUAAGACGAAAAACAUAAUUUGGAAAUUUAGAAUCUAAAAAACCCUUUGGUUGUUCCACAUAAACUUCCUCUUUUAGAAAACUAUUCAAAAAUGCACUUUUAGCAUCCAUUUGAUAAAGAGUAAUUUUAAAAUGACAAGCUAUCACGAACAAAAUACGAAUAGAUUCGAGACGGGCAACCGGGGUGAAGGUUUCAUCAAAAUCAAUCCCCUCAAUUUGUGAAUAACCUUGAGCAACAAGUCUAGCUUUAUUUCGAACAAUUGUACCAUCCUCAGUUUUCUUAUUUUUAAAAAUCCAUUUAGUACCAAUAACAUUUUGUUGCUCAGGGCAUGGCACUAAUUCCCAUAUAUCAUUGCGGGUGAAUUGGCCAAGUUCUUCUUGCAUGGCAUUUAUCCAAUAUUCAUCAAGAAGAGCUUCGUCAAUAUUCUUUGGCUCAAUUAGAGAAACAUAACAUGCAAAUUCACAUUGAAGUUGACUUCUACUUCGCACACCAACACUUGGAUCUCCAAUGACAUUCGAUAAAGGGUGAUCUCUUGACUCUCUCAGGGGUGCAGUCUCAGAUGAUGUACUAGGUAUUUCAGAUGAGAUGCUUUGAGGCUCAGAUGACUCAUUUGAUGCAACAUUUUCAGAAGAUGCAAUGGGAUUAUCAAAUGUAGAAACAUCAUCAUUCACAGGCAAUACAAAUAGAGAAUCAUUAUCAUCAUCAUUCAUCAACGCAUUAGGAGAACCAUUCACCGAAGAACUUACAGAAGAAGCUUCAUCUACUUUUAUAUUGAUAGAUUCUAUCACCGUCUUAGUUCGUAAAUUGUACGCACGAUAAGCACGACUUGUAGUAGAAUAACCGAGAAAGAUCCCCUUGUCACUUCGGGAGUCAAAUUUUCCAAGAUUUUCACAAUCCCGAAGAAUAAAACACUUACUCCCAAAGACACGAAAGUAUUUAAUAUUAGGUUUCCUACCAAGCCAAAGUUCAUACGGAGUAUUCAAGGUACUCGAACGCACAUAAAUCCGAUUGAUAAUAUAGACGGCCGUGUUAACCGCUUCAGCCCAAAAAUGCGAAGCAAUUUUCUUACUAUGAAGCAUAACACGUGCCAUCUCUUGUACAACCCGAUUUUUGCGUUCUACCACUCCGUUUUGUUCGGGUGUAUAAAGAGCCAAGAAUUCAUAUUUUAUGCCAUUUGAAACACAAAAAUCAACAAAUUUUGAAUUUAUGAAUUCUCCCCCUUGAUCACUUCGAAUACGUACAAUUUUAUCGUUACGCUCAUUCAUAAGACGAAAAUAAAUCUCAGAAAAAGAAUCAAAAGUAUCAGCCUUUUCACGUAAGAAAGCACUCCAUACAAAUCGAGUAAAAUCAUCAACAAUAAGCAGGAUAUAACAUUUUCCACCCAAACUUUGAAUACUUGAUGGUCCCAUCAAGUCCAUGUGAAGUAACUCUAACGGUUUAAAUGUCUCUAAGUGGUUCAAAUUCUUAUGUGCGGAUCUAGUUUGUUUCCCCAAUUGACAACCCCCACACACAGUGUUCUCUUUGAAGUCUAUCUUAGGUACACCUCUAACAACCUCCUUCUUAGUUAUUUUAGAUAGUUUCUUAAAGUUCAUGUGACCUAGUCAUUCAUGCCAUAAAGUUUCAGUCUCUAAUGUCGCUAGGUUACAAUAUUCAGUUGAAGAACUAGGAACUACAUAACAGUUAUUCUCAGAUUUUACACCUUUUAAGAAAAUAGAAUCAUCACGAGUCACAUUGCAUUCUUUAUCAGAAAAUUUCACAGAAUACCCAUCAUCACACAAUUGGCUUAUGCUUACGAGAUUUGAUUUAAGCUCCUCAACAUAAAAAAUAUCAUUCAAUGUAGGACCAUCUGAGAUAGUGGCAGUUCAUUUUCCAAUAAUUUUCGAUGACCAACCAUCUCCAAAAACAACAAGUCCACCGGAGAUUUUAUUUAAAGAAGUAAACCAAUUUUUAUCACCGGUCAUAUGACGUGAACAACCACUAUCCAGAUACCAAGAAGUGUUAUCGUAAGCAUGAAGCGAGGUGUGAAUGAUAAGGCAAGGAAAGAGUUCACCUUCGCGCACCCAAACCUUACGUGUUUUGGGUUGCGUUGGCCGACUUGAUUGCGAAAUAUGUUGCUUGUCGACGAUUUGAGCAAUUUUCUUCUUAGGAUCAUCCUUCUUCCGUUUCCAAGUUUGCUUUGCAUUUGUCUUUGGAUCUUCCUUCUUUGGUUUCCAUGUUUGUUUGUUCUUAGGAUCAUCCUUCUUUGAUUUCCAUUGUGCCUUCCGAUCCAAGGGUAUAGUGGGGCUCUUAGCCUUUUGUUUGCAAACCCUUUUCACAUGACCUAAAACACCACAAAGAUGACAAAUUUUGUUAGCAAAUGAGUUUUUCGGAGGGAUAAACUUACCAUAAAGCUUAGGAACCGCUUUUGUAGAAUGUUCGUCAUCUUUCUUCAUUGCUUGAUCAAUAUACGUCCGUUCGUAUCCAAGUACAAGUUUAUUUGUUUGACCAAGUCCAAGCAUCUUAUCAAGUUUGCUAGAGCCAGACGAGAAUUGAUUUAAAUCCGAUUUAAGUUGAAUAAUCGUCUUGGUGAAUUCCAUAUUUGCUUCUCUAGCUUCCGAGUAUUGCUUGGUAAGAAAAUUGAUGUUUUCAACAUGAGACUCCUUUUCCUUUUCAAGCAAUGUGCACUUCUCAAAUAAAGAGUCAUAAGACUUAGUCAAACCAUCUUUUUCAUGCUCGAGACUCUUGGUUAGCGACUCUAGUUUCGUGUUCUCUUCUUCCAAUUCGAGCAAUCUUCGCAGCAAUUUUUUAUUGUGCUUGGCCAUCUUCUUUGACUCGACAACCAAUUGAUGAUAUGCGGCAACCAUAUCAUCUUCAUCCGAUUCUUCAUCCGAUGAAUUCUCCGACGUAGAUUUUUCUUGCAUAGACGUCAUAGAGAUAGAAUCUGUAGAUGCUAAACACAUAAAAGAGUCAUGUGCAAUAAGUGCCGUAGCGUUAACAUCCUCAUCACUUGAAGAUGACUCACUCGAAGACGAGUCAUNAAGAGAAAAAAAACAGAAAAGGAAAAGACAAAAAGACAAAAAAACAAGGAUGAUAGCCGCAGGAAAAAGCGAUGAUACGAAGGAAGGAGCGCGAGACAACUUCGACGGUGGGGCUGGGAUUAUGCGAGAGGGAGAGAUAGCAAGAGUUUAGUACGCCAUAGGAGCAGUAACUGCGGUAACGACGUGUGGCAGUACAGGAGACGGCGUCGUAGUGGAGACACUAGCCAUGGUAUAGACUCGCUGACUCGGGCACAAUGGCAAAAAUCGCAGCCAUUUCACACCCAUUUCAUCCUCUCUUCUCGAUCACAGUUGUACCCUCGCGACCUCCUCCUUCUCCUCUUCCUUUUGUUUCUCUCUUUUUUAGCUUGGUUUUCCUUUUUCCUCUCUCUUUUCUUCUUAUUCUUAUUAAAACAGUUAAAUGAUUUUUAAGUCUGGAGUAGAGGUUUUAUUUUUUUAAUUUUUCGGAUGAAACGUUUUAAUAUUGGAAGCAUUUAAGAAUGCGUUUAAUCGGAAGAAAAAUAAUUUUAAAAAAUGUGAUGAUAUAUUAAAAUAAAAAAAUAUAUUUUCUUUCGCUUGAGAAAGUUACAAUAUGCUGCGGCCACUACAGUAAGUCUAAGAAGCAUAGAAGAAAAAAAAAAAAAAAAGUUGGAUUAUUUGGGAGUAAGUUAUACUAUUUAAAACUAAAUUGUACUGUCUAAAAUUAAAUUAUAUUAUUUGACAUUAUUUAAAAUUAAGUUGUACUACAAAAAAUGAAAACCAUACUAUUUGAAAAGUUGCACAAAUAAUGUCAAAUAGUACAACUUGCAAUUUAAUAUCAAACAUUACAAUUUUUAUUUUUUAUAGUACGAUUUAAUUUCAAUCACAAAGGUGAUGCUGAGUCGCUCGGAUAUGAUACAAAUCACAGGCUCAGUCGCUCGGAUAUGAUACAAAUCACAGAGGUGAUGCUGCGGCAGAGGACAUGACGGUGUGCAGCAGUGGCGACAAUGACGAGGGUACUGCAUGAUUUGAGAACGAUAGAGAGGGAGAGCAUAUUAGGGUCGGGGUGGCAGCUUCAACAGAGCGCGAGGAAGGAAGCAUAGUAGCGAAAAAGGACGCCGAUAGUAGGAACAAAAAAAAGAAAAACAGAAAAGGAAAAGACAAAAAAAAAAGAAAAAAUAAAAAAAUAUAUUUUCUUUCGCUUGAGAAAGUUACAAUAUGCUGCGGCCACUACAGUAAGUCUAAGAAGCAUAGAAGAAAAAAAAAAAAAAAGUUGGAUUAUUUGGGAGUAAGUUAUACUAUUUAAAACUAAAUUGUACUGUCUAAAAUUAAAUUAUAUUAUUUGACAUUAUUUAAAAUUAAGUUGUACUACAAAAAAUGAAAACCAUACUAUUUGAAAAGUUGCACAAAUAAUGUCAAAUAGUACAACUUGCAAUUUAAUAUCAAACAUUACAAUUUUUAUUUUUUAUAGUACGAUUUAAUUUCAAUCACAAAGGUGAUGCUGAGUCGCUCGGAUAUGAUACAAAUCACAGGCUCAGUCGCUCGGAUAUGAUACAAAUCACAGAGGUGAUGCUGCGGCAGAGGACAUGACGGUGUGCAGCAGUGGCGACAAUGACGAGGGUACUGCAUGAUUUGAGAACGAUAGAGAGGGAGAGCAUAUUAGGGUCGGGGUGGCAGCUUCAACAGAGCGCGAGGAAGGAAGCAUAGUAGCGAAAAAGGACGCCGAUAGUAGGAACAAAAAAACAGAAAAACAGAAAAGGAAAAGACAAAAAAAAGAGAAAAAAUAAAAAAAUAUAUUUUCUUUCGCUUGAGAAAGUUACAAUAUGCUGCGGCCACUACAGUAAGUCUAAGAAGCAUAGAAGAAAAAAAAAAAAAAAGUUGGAUUAUUUGGGAGUAAGUUAUACUAUUUAAAACUAAAUUGUACUGUCUAAAAUUAAAUUAUAUUAUUUGACAUUAUUUAAAAUUAAGUUGUACUACAAAAAAUGAAAACCAUACUAUUUGAAAAGUUGCACAAAUAAUGUCAAAUAGUACAACUUGCAAUUUAAUAUCAAACAUUACAAUUUUUAUUUUUUAUAGUACGAUUUAAUUUCAAUCACAAAGGUGAUGCUGAGUCGCUCGGAUAUGAUACAAAUCACAGGCUCAGUCGCUCGGAUAUGAUACAAAUCACAGAGGUGAUGCUGCGGCAGAGGACAUGACGGUGUGCAGCAGUGGCGACAAUGACGAGGGUACUGCAUGAUUUGAGAACGAUAGAGAGGGAGAGCAUAUUAGGGUCGGGGUGGCAGCUUCAACAGAGCGCGAGGAAGGAAGCAUAGUAGCGAAAAAGGACGCCGAUAGUAGGAACAAAAAAACAGAAAAACAGAAAAGGAAAAGACAAAAAAAAGAGAAAAAAUAAAAAAAUAUAUUUUCUUUCGCUUGAGAAAGUUACAAUAUGCUGCGGCCACUACAGUAAGUCUAAGAAGCAUAGAAGAAAAAAAAAAAAAAAGUUGGAUUAUUUGGGAGUAAGUUAUACUAUUUAAAACUAAAUUGUACUGUCUAAAAUUAAAUUAUAUUAUUUGACAUUAUUUAAAAUUAAGUUGUACUACAAAAAAUGAAAACCAUACUAUUUGAAAAGUUGCACAAAUAAUGUCAAAUAGUACAACUUGCAAUUUAAUAUCAAACAUUACAAUUUUUAUUUUUUAUAGUACGAUUUAAUUUCAAUCACAAAGGUGAUGCUGAGUCGCUCGGAUAUGAUACAAAUCACAGGCUCAGUCGCUCGGAUAUGAUACAAAUCACAGAGGUGAUGCUGCGGCAGAGGACAUGACGGUGUGCAGCAGUGGCGACAAUGACGAGGGUACUGCAUGAUUUGAGAACGAUAGAGAGGGAGAGCAUAUUAGGGUCGGGGUGGCAGCUUCAACAGAGCGCGAGGAAGGAAGCAUAGUAGCGAAAAAGGACGCCGAUAGUAGGAACAAAAAAACAGAAAAACAGAAAAGGAAAAGACAAAAAAAAGAGAAAAAAUAAAAAAAUAUAUUUUCUUUCGCUUGAGAAAGUUACAAUAUGCUGCGGCCACUACAGUAAGUCUAAGAAGCAUAGAAGAAAAAAAAAAAAAAAGUUGGAUUAUUUGGGAGNACUUAGAAUACCAUAAGCAAUGAGGGUUCACCUUCUAAUCAAACAUCUACUCGAUUCUCGAAGAAUAUCUCGAGUUAAAAUUGAAGAAUCAAGUCGAUCGUUGAUUAUAUGAAACUUGUUAUAUGAAUAAAAUCAUAAGAAUGUGAAAACAAGUUUCUAGGGUUUUAGAACAGUAGAAAUUCAAAGCCUUAACCCAUAUGAUGACCCCCAUGGCUUAUUUAUAGGUUUAGAAGACUUAGAAGUAGACUAGGAUUGCAAAAAGUCUAUUUUAAAAACUGGUGUCGUCCUCAGGGACCGGUCCUCUCGAGGAGACCGGUCUUUGGGAGACCGGUCCCUCGAGUGAGAGACCGGUCCUUCGCUGCGUGACAGAAAACACAACGUUCGGGAACCGGUCUCUCAUGCCAGAGACCGGUCCCUCGCUGCGUGACAGAAAAUCCCAUGUUAGGGAACCGGUCUCUCUUUCCAGAGACCGGUUGCCUCAACAUCCCACGCAGGAAGGACCCUCGGGGACUGGUCUCUCAACUCUGGGACCGGUCCCAGAACACUGAAAAGUUCAGUUUAAGUGUUUAAUCUAAGUCUUCUGAACUUAUUGUAAUUAGAUAAAUUCACCACAAAUGAUCUAUUCUUCAUACGUGAGGUGCCAAGCUUUCCAAAUGAGUCUUUGCUCUUCAAAUUGAAUCUUCUCUUCAAACUACCACAAUCAACUCUUCAAGACUCCAUUCGACUUUACGAAAUCCGCCAACCUAGAAAAUCCUUAACAAUAUUUUAUUAGAAAAUAUCUACAAUAUCCUAUAUUAUUUUUUUCAUAUGCAUUAAAUAUUUUUAUAUAUUUUUUAAUUUCUAAAAAAUCUAAGAUUUAAGUAAGUGUUUUAAACUAAAAGCAUCAAAAUUUAAUUGACAUUUAUUUCAAAAUUUAAAAUUUAAUUUUGAUCCAUUAUAUAAUUAAAAUUUUUUAAUUAUUAAUUCAAUUUUGAUAUCAAAAAUAAAAAAUUUAAUUUAAUUAAUGAUUUAAACUCAAAUUUAAAUUUUAAUAUAAAAUAGAUGGAUAAAAGUGCUAUUUUUAUACAGAUUGAUCAUAACCGUUCAUUUUUAUUUCAAAUAUUUUUAACCGAUUGAUCAUAACUAUUCCUAGAAUUGAAUUUAUAUAUGGGUAUAAAUAUUUUUUUUUAAUAAAUUGAUCAUUACCGUUCGUUCUUAUUUGAGAUAAUUUUUUACAAAUUGAUCAUAAAUUUGUACAUCAUAUUAAUUCAGAAAUAUGAUUUACUAUAGUACCAUUGGUUUGAGUUGGUGAGGGGUAGGGAGAUAAUUUUGGUUGGUGGUUAUCCACCCCACCUACCCCCCCUAUAUAGUAUGCACUUGAGAGAUUAAUUAUCUCAUAUUUCUCUUUCUCUCUAAUUUAAGCGUAGCUUGGUGGAAGCCGUGGCUCGAGUUCGGAAAAUUUUCGACGUCGAUUCGGAGGGCCGUUUGAGUGUGCGUGCAUCGCGGUUGCGUCGUUGGAGGCCGGGCGAGCGCGUGAUUUCCUCUCCUUUCGACUUCUCGCCGUAGUUGGACGAGCUUUUCGAGGUGGAUUAAUAUUAUGCUAACCGGAUUCUACGGAUUUCCUCCUAAUUCUAUGUGUUGACAGCAUGUGUUUUUAGCUUCGUUUAGCAUGUUGAUUAGCUUGAUUAUUGGUUUUGCAUGCUUUUGAACCUGAAUUGGAGCUUAGAAUAUUAGCUAAAGUAUGCAUGUUGGACUUGGAUUUGACUUAGGAGGAAACUAACGAUUCUACACCGUCAUUUGUUCAAACUACCAGAUUUAGCUCUAGAAACUGUAGUUUGUUUGUAUUGCCGCAGUUUGUGGGUAGUGAAUACCCAGAAUAGUGUAAAAUAUAUUUACGCUCAUGCUGAGAUGCCGAGUGUAUUUUUACAGCAGUGUUUAGACUGUUCCGGAUUGUCGGGUGCCGUUGAGGUUGACGGUGGACCCAGAUUGCUGUUUUUGAAUCAGAUUGUGCCGAGAGCACGUGAGUUUAGUUGUUAGACCCUGUUUACUUGACUAUAGCCUGUGAGAGCCUGAUUGAGCUCGACAGAGACACGCUUGCAUACUCGAUUGGGUAGCACCCAUGAGUGCCACUCUAGAGUCGAGCUUUGUACUUUUGCGUUGGUGUCGUUUUGUCCUGGUUAGACUUGCUCUCCACUGACGACCUUGUUUGGUGGCUGUUAGUGUAGCUUCGACAUGCGGGACGGGUGUGUUCACAGUCCCUAGUGAGAUUGGGUCAGGAUUUACUUUUUCUACAGAUAGUUAGUGCUGGAUUGAGAUAGUAUAGGUGCAUAUAGCUAUAGAUUUAUUCCAGCUCUCUUUACUAUCCUUGCUUGCAUCUGUGGACUUAGUGGGUGAGCCGUUGAGGUCAGUAGCGGUACCGACUGAGGACUACUUCUUUUUGCAGUAGUUCUCACGCCCAGUUGUUGGAAUCUUUUGCAGAGCCUUCUUCUUCGGCUGCUGCUGCUACUGAGUCUUAUCGUGGAAAGUGCGUUGCGAGUUAGAGCCUUUCCUGACGAGUUGCUGAACUAGAGGAGUACCAGCUACAGGUAGUUGUAGUUUUUGAGUUCUUAUACAUACUUUUGUUGUAUCUCGCUGGGCUAGUAUCUUGUACACUUGGAUUUGAUAUAUGUAUAGUGAACUUCUGUUUUUUAUUUUUAUUUUUUCAUUUCUUCUAGUAGCUCUAUACUACUGGUUGUAGUAUUGUGUGAUUACAGGUACAGCUAUGGCUUCGUAUAUAGAGAAAAUUCUUUUAUAUACGGCGGAUUUGUCGGCGCGUCCGGAAAAACGAGUAAUCCGGAGCGUGACAGAUUAAGUUGGUAUCAGAGCUUAGUAUUAUGUCGUUGGGACCUAGGAACCCUAAGUUUGGCAAACCUUAGGAGGGCAAGACGCGAGAGGCGUGAUUUAUCGUGAAAAUCAAUGAUUAAAUAGUUCUAACUCCUCCUAUAGUGGAGUGAGUGAUUGAAGGAGUGCCUGUUUCGGUCCAGAAAAAUUAUGUUGGCUGCAGACGACAUAAUUUUGAGGAGAAACAGAGGCCGCCUUCUAGACUUUCGCUUGAUUGGGUCGAGAGUGUUUUUGUUUUGUAUCUGACCCUUAUUUCCUUUCUUUGCAGCUAUGUAUCAAAAUCGAGGCCGACCGUCGACGCGGGAUCGUGCCGCACCUCCUGUGAUGCCUGAGCAGGCAGAGCCGAGUGCACGACCAGAGGCGAGCGCACUCCCUGAUCUGAGGGAGCAGUUGGCUGCCUUGACCUAGUUGACGAGGCAGCAGGGGGCAUUGUUACAGAGGAUGUGUGAGAGAUUAGCUCCCCCGCAGAGCACAGCACCAGAGAAGCCAGUUCUACCCCCGACUACUCCAGUGGCAACACCAGCUACAGCAGUACCCCCACCAGCGGCAGUUCCCCUAGUGCCAGUUGCAGCUUUUGGUGAGGCACCGCAGCUGACUGAGGCUGAGCAGAAGCGGAUGGCUGAGUGACUUGCUCGCUUCCGUCGUUUCGAUCCACCGACCUACGAUGGUAGUUGCACUGAGGCUUAGGUUGUCGAGGGCUGGAUCAGUGCGAUGGAGAAGCUGUUUGAGGAUCUGUUCAUUCCUGAGUGGGAGCAGGUACACCUGGGAGUUCAUUGUUUGGCUGGUGACGCCCAUGCUUGGUGGAAGAUGGUGAAGCGAGACUACAGUUUGGUGGCGUCGCAGAUGCGAUGGGAUGAGUUCUGUGGCAUGCUGUAUAGGAUGUAUUUUCCCAACAGUGUAAAGCAGAAUAUAGAGGAGGAUCUAAGGAGGCUUCAGCGAGGGGAUCGACCAGUUAAGGAGUAUAUCCGUGAGUUUACUCGACUCCUGAACUGUGUUCCAUUUGUGGCCAGGGAUGAGGCGCACAGGGUUUAUCUUUUUGAACAAGGAUUGAGGCAAGAGAUUUUCUGGUUAGUUCAAGCGCAGAGGUUGAGGACCUUGGACGCGUCUAUGGAGCAGGCUUUUUGGGUGGAGAGAGGUGACGCUUCGAUCCGUGAGCAGACUCAGUUACAGGGACAGAGUCAGGAUAGGAAGCGCCCGGCAGCAGACGACGGGGGACAGUUGAGAAGCAGGCGUCCGCCCAGACCUCCGCGAUCACGCUCUUAGGGUCGUGGCUCUUCGGGGCGUCAGCAUUCUGGGGGACCUCGUCAGCAGAGGCAGUCGCAGGGGUCGCCGCAGUGUGUGAUUUGUGGAGGACCACACUGGCCUCGACAAUAUGAGCAGCGAGAAGGCCGAUGCUAUGGAUGUGGACAGCCAGGGCAUAUGAGGGCAGCCUGUCCCCGAGCAGCAUCACCAGCACCAUUGUCAGCAUCAGCACAGCCGGUACCUCAGCAGUCUUACGGGGCACCGCCGAGUUACCGCCAGGAGGACAGAGCGUCUGUGUCGCGUAAGGGUGAGCGGCGACAGGGGGCUCCGAGUGGUAAAGUCUACGCAGCUCAGGUGGAGGACUCUACAUCAGCCGAUCGAGUGGUGGCAGGUAUCAUUUUGAUUUUUGGCAUUAGAGCUCGUACUUUUUUCGAUACCGGUGAAUUGCAUUCUUUUGUUAGCCUAGCAUUUGCAUUGUUACAUGGUCUAGAGGUAGGGCCAUCAUUGCAUACACGAGAGGUGCAGGUUCCCUACUAUACUUUGUAGGUGGUGGAUUGUUGUUGGUCGUGUCCAGUGCAGUUAGAUUCGUGGAUCAUGCCCGCAGACCUGUUGGUGUUAGGGCAGCUGCAGGACUUUAACGUGGUGCUCGACAUGGAUUGGUUGGCGCGGUACUAUGCUAUUAUUGAUUGUGGAGCAAGGAUCGUGACGUUCCGCAAGCCAGGCCAGGAGAAGUUCACUUUUAGAGGCUGCAAGAGUACGUUGUUUGCUACUUAGAUUUCGUCGUCGACGGCUCGACAGCUGAUGAGUAGAGGAUGUGUUGCUUUUCUAGCGACGGUUGUAGAGGUUCCUACGGCGGUGCCGGGACUCAAGGAUAUUCCUAUAAUCCGAGAGUUUUCGGAUGUUUUCCCCCCGGAGUUGACGACGAUGCCACCGGAUAGAGAGAUUGAGUUUGUGAUUGAUGUAGUUCCUGGAACUGCACCAAUCUCGAAGGCACCCUACCGGAUGGCACCGGCAGAGCUGAGAGAGCUGAAGGCGCAGCUUCAGGAUCUGAUGAAUAAGGGGUAUGUGAGACCCAGUGUAUCGCUUUGGGGAGCGCUUGUGUUAUUCGUGAAGAAGAAGGAUGGUUCACUUAGGUUGUGUGUGGAUUAUCGGGAGUUGAAUAAAGUGACUAUCAAGAACAAGUAUUCUUUGCUGCGCAUUGAUGAUCUGUUUGAUCAGCUGCAAGGAUCUUAUAUCUUUUCGAAGAUUGAUCUCCAGUCAGGUUACCACCAGUUGAGGGUGAGGGCCGAGGAUGUUCCCAAGACGGCUUUUCGGACUCGGUACGGGCAUUAUGAGUUUACUGUGAUGCCUUUUGGAUUGACGAAUGCCCCUGCCGCAUUUAUGGAUUUGAUGAACAGAGUGUUCAAGCCGUUCUUGGAUAGAUUUGUGGUUAUAUUCAUUGAUGAUAUCUUGAUAUACUCCCGGAGUGAUGUCGAGCAUGAGGAGCACUUAAGGAUUGUGCUGCAACUUCUGAGGGAGAAGAAGUUGUAUGCUAAGUUGACGAAGCGCGAGUUCUGGCUGCGAGAGGUUGCUUUCUUGGGCCAUGUGAUUUCUGUAGUUAGAGUAGUAGUGGACCCAAAGAAGAUUGAUGCUAUUAAAGAUUGGCCCAGACCGACGACGGUGACUGAGGUGAGGAGUUUCCUGGGACUGGCAGGAUACUACCGUCGGUUUGUGGAAGGCUUUGCGAAGCUUUCCACACCCCUCACUCGAUUGACUCGAAAGGGGAUUAGAUUCAUCUGAUGUGAGGAUUGUUAGAGGAGCUUCGAUGAGUUGAGACAGAGGUUGAUGUCAGCUCCUAUCCUUGCCCUUUCAGUGAUGGGAGAAGGAUUUGUGAUUUACAGUGAUGCAUCACAUAGUGGUUUGGGCUGUGUGCUGAUGCUGAAUGGUAGGGUAAUUGCUUAUACUUUCAGGCAAUUGAAGGAUUACGAGAAAAUUAUCCUACGCAUGACUUGGAGCUUGUCGCGGUGGUCUUUGCUUUGAAGUUGUGGCAGCAUUACCUAUAUGGCGAGCACUGUGAGGUUUUCACUUAUCAUAAAAGUCUCAAGUAUCUGUUCACCCAAAAAGAGUUGAACCUGAGGCAACGCCGGUGGUUGGAGUUGUUGAAGGACUAUGAUAUUAGUAUUCAGUAUCACCCCGGCAAGGCGAAUGUGGUGGCAGAUGCAUUGAGCAGGAAGGCAGUGCAAAGCUGGAGCAUGUCGAUUACUCCGCAGAGGCCGUUAAUUGAGGAGCUACAGCGGUUGAGACUCGAGAUAGUGUCCCCUGGGUCUACUUCAAGACUGAUGUCUAUGGUCUUGCAGCCCACUCUGUUGGAUAGGAUCAGGGAGAAACAGAGUGGAGGCUCUCACUUGUUGAGGAUUCGAGAGCAGUUGGAGAGGGGACAGGCAGAGGCUUUUUCUGUGGAUAGUUCAGGAGUACUGCGGUACAGGGACCGACUGUGUGUGCCUAUGGAUUCAGGGAUCCGAGAGGAGAUUUUGAGAUAGGCUCAUUACUCACCUUAUACGGUUCACCCCGGUGGAACCAAGAUGUAUAAGGACUUGAAGGCACACUUCUGGUGGAAUGGAAUGAAGAGAGACAUUGGCAGAUUUGUGGCUCAGUGUUUGACUUGCCAACAGGUAAAGGCAGAGCAUCAGGUACCUGCUGGCAAGCUUCAGAGUCUGCCAGUGCCCGAGUGGAAAUGGGAGCAGAUCACGAUGGACUUUGUCGUGGGGUUGCCUAGAGCACAGGGUGGUUUCGAUGCGAUUUGGGUGAUUGUGGACAGACUGACUAAGUCUACUCACUUCUUAUUGGUACAGACCACCUAGUCCAGGGAGAGACUCGCGCAGCCAUAUCUGGACGAGAUUGUUAGGCUGCAUGGUAUGCCGAUUUCGAUCGUAUCAGACAGGGACCCGAGAUUUGUGUCGCACUUUUGGAGGAGUCUUCAGACAGCCUUGGGUACACAGUUGCAUUUCAGCACAGCGUUUCACCCACAGAUAGAUGGUCAGUCAGAGAGAACCAUUCAGACUCUGGAGGACAUGCUGAGAGCAUGCGUCCUGGACUUUGGAGGAAGGUGGCAUCGACAUUUGAGACUGGCUGAAUUUGCGUACAACAACAGCUAUCAAACGAGCAUUCAGAUGGCUCCGUUUGAGGCGUUGUAUGGACGCAGGUGUCGAUCCCCUUUGCAUUGGAGUGAUGUGGGUGAAAGGAAAACUCUAGGGCCUGAUAUUUUGGUAGAGGCUGAAGAAAAGAUUAGAGCUGUACGGCGACAUCUUUUGACAGCCAAGAGUCGACAGAGGAGCUGCGCCGAUACCAGGAGACGAGACUUGGAGUUCCAGGUAGGAGAUCAUGUGUUUCUGAAAGUCUCGUCGUCCCGAAGAAUUCGCAGAUUCAGAGUGCGUAGAAAGCUCAGUCCACGCGUUGUAGGCCCUUUUGAGGUAUUGGAGUGAGUUGGACCAGUUGCCUACAGGAUUGCUCUACCCCCAUUACUGGCCAGUAUUCAUGAUGUUUUUCACGUCUCGGCAUUGAGGAGGUACGUGUUUGGCCCCUCGCACGUGAUCGACUUCACUCCGUUGGAGCUUAGCGAGGACUUGCGAUAUGAGGAAAGAUCGGUACGAAUUCUGGCUCGUGAAACGAAGGAAUUGCGCAACCGGGUCAUUCCUUAUGUAAAAGUACAGUGGAGUCAUCACGAGGAGCGGGAGGCUACCUGGGAGCCAGAGAUAGUGAUGCGGGAGUCCUAUCUCUACUUGUUCGAGGCUCAGGUUUGAGGUAUGUUUUAAGUUUCGAGGACGAAACUUUUUGUAGUGGAGGAGGAUGUAGUACCCUUAGUUUGAGUUGGUGAGAGGUAGGGAGGUAAUUUUGGUUAGUGGUUAUCCACCCCACCUACUCUGUAACACACUGGACCCUUGCAAAUUGCGAGGUUCAAGUGUUUGAUCAGUGUUUCGAGUUUUUCCAGAUAUUCUGAAGGGUCGUUGACAGUGUUCCGACCUAUGGCUCGUAUCUCGAGAAUUGAAGCUUUUAAAGUAGCGCUAAGGUCACCAAAGUGGAGGAUUUAGACUGCUCUCGGGUUGCAUUUUGCUCGACUGUGUACCGGUACACCUUGAUGGUUGUAUCGGAACAGAAUUUGUACCGGUACGCCUUGAUGGUUGUACCGAUACAAAUUGGAUUUUCUACCAACCCGAGUCUCGGGUUCGCGCGUGCACUGGGUUUGUACCGCUACACUUUCCCGUGUACCAGUACACUUGGCAGUGAGGGCUGUUUUUUGUUGGAGGGUGCAAUUACAAUUGUUGCAACCUAUUUAUACCACCCCAGCCCCCUUAGAGAGCUCUUUUGAGCCCUACCCUGUGGAGAUCAAGGUGAGAACUCUCCCUCUUGAUUUCUUCUCCAUUUUUGAUGGAUUUUAGCAAGUUUUGAUCUCCACUUUCUCACUUUUCCCUGCUUCUUGUUGGAUUCCACCAUGGGAGAAGCUUGGAUUUCAGGAUUGGGGCUUGAUAGAAGAUCAAUCUUCAACCCUAGUGGAUUCUAAGCUGGGCUUGGAGCAUCUUGUGAGGUUAGUACCAUGAUCUACCAUUUGGAUCACGUUUUAGAGGAUUUUUGAUGUUGUAACCUAAGGAUUGGAGACUUAGGGUUUAAAAUGGGGAAUUUUGAUUUGAGGCUUUUUGAUCUCAAUUGAUGGGCUUAGAACCUUUGUUUAGGUUGGUUUAGAAGGACUCUAACUCCCAUUUGGAGAUCGAGAGAGUUUUCUUCGCAUUCAGUGAGUUUUCACCAUUUUUUCUUGAGUUGCUUAAUGUUUGAGUAAUUGGUUGUUCGUAACGUUCGUAUCUCUCUCUUUUCCUUACUUUUAGGGUGCUAAGAGAGUAGCGGGCACCUUCGUCGACCCAAACGAAGGACGGCCAAGAGUUUCGGUGGGUUUGACUUCAUGAAAUAGGGGAGAAACGUCUCCUAUGUAUUUUAUACUUGUCGUUUCAUCGAAAUACAUGCAUAUUCAUGCUAGAUAGGAUUUCUAUGAAUUUUAGAAUACUUAAAAUGCAUGUGCUAUAUAUCAUGAAAAUUCAACUCUAUAUAAUAGAGCAAUAUGUGUAAUAUGCAUGCAUGUGAAAAAUAUUUUUUUUGGCAAGUUGGAAACAUAUCUCAUAUGAUGAAACUGACUCGAAUUAUGUACUCCUGAACAUUACACUCAUGCUCGGACUUAGUGAACAAAAGUGCCAUAAAGGGGCACUCGACUUAGUAAACUGUGAAACUGCAAUAUAGAGACAUAGUGAUAGGCCAUCUGGACAUCGACUAUAUUUCAUGUUUUAGACAUGAUGACAUAGUGAUAGGCCAUUGAGACAUUUGCUAGAUUUCAUAUUUUAGACAUGAUGACUUGGGACUUGAAACGGACUUUUACGCUUGCUUGCCAUUGUGCUCAUUCGCACAUGCUUGUGAGGGUCGCUCCCCACAAGCCGGCACUUCGGAGAUAGUCAUCACGACACAUACUCGCCCGUGCGGGAUUGGGCGCCGAAAUGGGAUGCCGUGGGGGAGGCUCAUUCCUAUAGUGGGGAUGUUGACUACCACGGGGCCAUUAGGCACGGCGCAGGCCGGACUACCCACGAGUAGGUCCUACAUGAUCGGAACUGUGGUGACAUAAUAUGUCUAUUGGACAUUGACUAGAAUAGUAAACAAUGACAACUUACUAUUUACUCGUGGACAUCAUAGUAGUUGUACUUAUGCAUAUUAUGUUAUGGUAGCAUUCUGAUUUAUGCAAAUUCAUACUAAGUAGAGAUAUCAUGUUGUAAUAAACCUUCAUGUUUAAUUGCUUAUUGUUCAUAUCACUUAUACAUAUACUUACUUGCUUAGUUUUGGACCUAGUGGUGCUUUACACUGAAGUCAGUAAUUGUCCACUGGAAACUAUUAUUUAAUAGUUCUCACGCCCUCUGUUUUAUGAUUUUAUUUCAGAGCCUUCAGCACCGGUGGAGACAUGGGAUCGCGACAAAGGGGUCGCGUAGCUAGAUAGCAAGGAUUUACUUUUGCUCAGGUGGUUUUCUCUCUUCUUCUUUUUUUUUGUAGAAAGAAAAAGAGGUUUUGUAUCCAUGUAUAGAGACCACCUAUGUAUUACUCUUAGCAUUGGUGCUUUAGAUUUGUUAUUGUUUUUCCUCAUGGUUUACUGUUAGUGGAUGUUAGAUCUUUUACUCUUUUCCUAUGAUAGAAUCUAGAUGUUAUAUGCUCUGAUAUCGCUAGAUCUCUUUGUAUUAUUGUCUUGUUUACCAUUUUAUUGUAGACGUCUUGUAUGUUUGAGACGUAUGGCGGAUGUAACGCACUGGACCUUUGCAAAUUGCGAGGUUCGAGUGAUUGGUCGUGUUCUGAGUUUUUCCAGAUUUCCUGGAAGGUCGUUGACUGUGUUCCGACCUAUGGCACGUGUCCCGAGGAAUGCGGUACGAAGCCUUGCACCAAAACCCAAAAAUUUGGAUUUUGGUCAGCUCUCGGAUUGGCUGUCUGGCGGGCUUGUACCGGUACAAGGUUGUGCUUGUACCGGUACAGAGCCGCGAACUCGCAAACCCGAGCCUCGGGUUUGCGUUUUCGCAGGUCUUGUACCGGUACAAGGGUGGUCUUGUACCGGUACAAUGAUUGAUGGUUGUACCGGUACAGCCAUCGGGCCUGUACCGGUACAGUGCCGCAGAACAGCGCAACCCGAGCCUCGGUUUGGAUUUUCGUAGCUCUUGUACCGGUACAAGAUCCCGUGUACCGGUACAAGGAGGCAGAAUUUGCACUGUUUGCUCUGCAGGGGCUUAUUUGCGAUUGUGGGCUUCUUAUAUCAGCACCCACGCCCCUAGGGCUCUCCCCUGGGCUGAGAAGAGUGGAGAACCAGGUAAGGGAGCUCCCCACACCAUCUCUUUGGAUUUGAUUCCCAUUUUGCAUAGUUUUUGAUGGAUUUUCCUCUCUUUUUCCCUUUUGGAGCUAUUUCCACCAUUGUUGGAGCUUGGGACUUGGAUUUGGAGUUUGAUUGAGGGAAGAUACUUGAAGUGUGAGGACUUUGAGCUGGUUUUGAGGCUUCUAAGAGGUAAGUGGCAAGAUCCUUUCCUCUAAUCUUGGUUUUUAAAGGUUUCAUUGAGAUGAAACCCUAGAUUUGGGAUUUUAGGGUUUAUUUUGGGCAUUUUCGUUUUAGGGCUUUUGAAGCUCAAUUGGUUGGAUUAGAACCUUCCUCUAGGUUAGAUUGGAAGGGUUCUAGCUCUCUUUUGGAGCAUAGGAAGAGAUUUCUACUAUUGAGGUGAGUUUUGGCCCUUUUGCUUCUAGGUUAAAGAUUGAGCUUAUUGCUCUUCGUAUCGAUUGGAUGACACCCUUUUUGAUGCUUCUAGGGUGCUGGAAGACUUGUGGAAACCUCCGUUGGAGCAAACGAAAAGCUUCGUUGUCGUCGGUGGGUUUGACCUAGCCCAUAAUAUGAGAAAAUCUCAUAUUUGGUGAUAAGUGCCUUGUUACUAAUUAAUUCAUGCAGUUUCAUAUUAAAUGUAUUUAUUAUGAGUUUUAGAAUGCUUAAAAUGCAUAAGUUAUAUAUGAUGAAGUUUUGGACCUCUAUGUAGUAGAGAGUUGCUUGAUUGAUCUUUGGUUGCAUUUAGCCUUCUAUAUGAGGUUUGAUUUCAUGGUUCUAGAGAGUAAAUGAGCUAUGAUUCAUGCGUUUAAACAUAAGUUUAAUUGGGGCAUGAAAGAUGACAAUUGCUACAAUUGUAGGCGUCGAACUUGAUAUCACGUGAAUUGGAGAGCUAAUGUCAACAAGCGGCAUUGAGCUCAGGACUUGUGAGAACCUAGUGGAUAGGGCCAUUGAGGGAUUUGGAAAACGUGUUGAACAUCAAAUUGCCUAAGUGUCAUCAAGGGGCACUAGGCGUAGCAACUGUUGAAACUUCACAUUGUGACUUAGACUAGAUCUUCGGGAUGCUAGUUAUGAUACCAUGUUAGAGACAUGAGGAUGGGAUAUUUGAGACUUGGACUAUGCUUGCUUGCCAUUUGUGCUCAUUCGCACAUGCUUGUGAGGGUCGCUCCCUACAAGCCGGCACUCCGGAGUUAGCCUGCGCGACUUUUGAUCGCUCGUGCGGUAUUGAGAAGCCUACGGGGUCGAGUGGGACAGACACAUUCCAAGAGUAGGAAUGUCGGGCUACCACAGGCACUUAGGCGGCACAAGCUGGACUACCUUGGGUAAGUCCCUAAUUGGAAAUGGAAAUCGACACGGUGUCGAAUAUGAAUAAUCACUACUAGAUAGGAUUGGUAGUUGGAUCACUGGGACACGUUUAUGAUACAGUAUUGGUACAUUUAGCAUACUUGUCGGUUUCAUUAUUGCAUCGUAGUAUACUCGGUUGUUUGGACAGUUUUACCCUUAUGCAUUGACAUAUUGCAUCGUGAAGUUUACUUGUUAUUAUGUUGAGACAUAUUAGUAUGCAUCGGAUAUAUUACCCUAUGAUAGCCUGGAUGUACAUUACCAUGACUUCAUGCUUAUUUGAGACACAGUAGACUAGCAUUUCAAUUAUGCUUUCUUUCAGCAGUUUAUGUAUAUGCUCCUUAUUGCUUGUAUUAUUAUCGUUACUUACCCUUAUUUUUGGGGCCUAGUGGAGCAAGAGCUGAGGUCAGUAAUUGCCCACUGGGAACUAUAAAUUAUAGUUCUCACGCCCUCUUUUUCUCGAUGUUUUUCAGAGCCUUCCACUCAGGGUGAGGCCAGGGAUCGCGGAAAGGGUAUCGCCUCGGGCUAGCGCGCUUACCGGGGGAUCGUUCGCUAGGUGGUCUACCUCUCGUGUUUUCUUUUGUGAGAGGUUGAGAGUUGUACCCACAUAUGUAUAGAGACCACCAUUUUUGUACUACUUAUGGUUAUCUUAAUUUGACUAGCUUUAUUUCUUUACCUUGGUGUAGAUGAUAGAACUUUACUUGCUCUGAUAUCAUUAGUUGCUAGUUAUUUCAUUUCUUGUAUUUGUUCUAUCUCUUGCUUUUAUUUCCGCUUUUGUUGUAGACGCCUUAUAUGUGUAGACAUAUGGCGGGUCUGGGCACGCUACCGGGAGGGCCUCCGCCGGUCCCGGGGCGUGACAGCGGAUCUCGACACGUCCCGGGCGAGCUUCCACUGGGUCCCGGGGCGUGACAUACUCCCCCUAUAUAGUAUCCACCUGAGAGAUUAAUUAUCUCAUAUUUCUUUUUCUCUCUAAUUUUAAGCGUAGCUUAGUGGAAGCCGUGGCUCGAGUUCGAAAAAUUUUCGACGUCGAUUCGGAGGGCCGUUUGAGUGUGCGUGCGUCGUGGUUGCGUCGUUGGAGGCCGGGCGAGCGCGUGAUUUCCUCUCCUUUCGACUUCUCGCCGUAGUUGGACAAGCUUUUCGAGGUGGGUUAAUGUUAUGCUUACCGGAUUCUAUGGAUUUCCUCCUAAUUCUAUAUGUUGACAGCAUAUGUUUUUAGCUUCGUUUAGCAUGUUGAUUAGCUCGAUUAUUGGUUUUGCAUGCUUUUGAACCUGAAUUGGAGCUUAGAAUAUUAGCUAAAGUAUACAUGUUGCACUUGGAUUUGACCUAGGAGGAAACUAACGAUUCUACAUCGUCAUUUGCUCAAACUAUCAGAUUUAGCUCUAGCAGCCGUAGUUUGUUUGUAUUGCCGCAGUUUGUGGGCGGUGGAUACCCAGAAUAGUGUAGCAUAUAUUUACGCUCGUGUUGAGAUGCCGAGUGUAUUUUUAUAGCAGUGUUUAAACUGUUCCGGAUUGUCGGGUGCCGUUGAGGUUGACGGUGGACCCAGCUUGCUUUUUUGCAUCAGAUUGUGCCGAGGGCACGUGAGUUUGGUUGUUAGACCCUGUUUACUUGACUAUAGCCUGUGAGAGCCUGAUUAAGCUCGACAGAGACACGCUUGCAUACUCGGUUAGUUAGCGCCCACGAGUGCCACUCCGGAGUCGGGCUUUGGCUUUUGCGCUGGUGUCGUUUUGUCCUGGUUGGACUUGCUCUCCACUGACGACCUUGUUUGGUGGCUGUUAGUGUAACGUACCGAAGCCCGGUAGAGCGUAGUGGACUUUAGCGAAAUGGACUAAAGCGUCCAAGAGAGAUGGUUCGACAAGUUCCAAUUAACAUUCCAACAAUGUUGGAAGGGUUAAAAAGGAGUUCUAAAAGAGUUAAAAGAAUUUUAGCAUCGGCCGUCGCGAAAUAGAGUCGAAACGGUGCAAAAACUGCAGUCUGGGCAAAGUGUACCGGUACAACCAUCGAGUUGUACCGGUACAACCAGCAGGCCGAGAGGGGGGGUAGCUCUCGGGUUUGCCUCUGCGUGAUCGUGUAACCGGUGACAGAACAAAGUGUACCGGUACACUUUGGUCUGGCAGCAACAAUGAGGUCUGCCACAAAUAGAAAGAAGUUGAGGGUAUUUUGGUAAUUGUUACAACAUGUAAUAUACCCCAAUACCCCUUCCCACUCUCUUUUCACAGCCACUAUCUCUCCCUCUCAUUUCUCUCUUUCUCUCUCUAGGAAACUCCCCAAAGAGCAAGGAGAAGGAGGAGAAGGGCUUUUGGGGGGAUUUGGAGCUUGUAGAAGAUCUUGAAGCUCUCCAACAAGGUGGACUUGGGUGAGCUUGUGACCAAGCUGAGGUUUUGAGGAAAGUUGGGCCUAGGGUUUGGAUUUGGGCCCUAGAACCUCGACGUGCGAAAACGAACUUCGAUUGAAAUUGAUCGAUGGUGAGUUUGGAACGCUUCGAAAAGGACGAAACCGUUAAAAUCGCAUUAAGUGCGUUAGAGGAGACCUUGGAGAGCAAGUGGAAAAAGUUUUGCAAAAUUGCAGAGUUUUUGAGCUCUCGGGGUCCAGACCCUCAGCGAGGGACCGGUCCCCGUACGCGUGGAAAAGAGCAGAAAAGCUGCUCUACGCACAGCUUGCUCUCGGGGUCCGGUCACUCUAGAGGGUCCGGUCCCCGUAGCCGAGACUGGCCCAGUUUGGAGCAGUGCACGUUCUUGAGUGCAAUUACAAUCCCGAACCCUAGAGGUGUCUUCUGUUAACUUCUUCAGGAUACGGGAUUGUAGAAGUUCUCACCAGGCACGGCGAUGUGCAUUGCAUGAUGAGAGGUGCAUUCGUUGUGGGCGGCCGGGCUAUGUGCGAGAUGAGAGCCGCUGGGGGACGACCAAACCUUGGCGUUGGCGAUGGCCUUCUCCUCUCCAAGACAGCCUGUGGGUGUGCCACCUACGGCGUGGUCUGGAGAGCGAGUGAUCAGAAUGUGGCAACCGGAGGGUUCGCAGCGAGCGGCAAGUGGCUAUGGUACGUGACCCAGGUUAGGGAACCUACUGCUACCGACGAUGUCAUGGCAGGUGUGGUUUAGUUGAAGCAGUCAUACACUUUUGCAUGAUGUAAGGUUGGUGCAUAGCAUGCAUUUGUCAUGGUUAGUUGCUACUAUAUAUACAUUGUAUAGUAGGGACCAAGUAGAUGGGUGAGUGAGGAUACCCGGGUAUGCUUGCAUAUGGAAGUGUAGUACCCGUUGGAGCAGGUAGAGAGCAAGUUGGCACUAGCGAGUCACUAGUGAGAGUCUAAUGCUAAGACUCAUGAUAGAUAUGGAAUUGGCGGAUCGACUCUCAAAGCAAUGUGAGUGGUUGAUUGCGAGAGUUAAGCCAUGACAUGUGAGGACCUCUUGAGAGUCCCGAAAUUUCGGAUGUUGUCCCGGUAGAUCGAACACUGAAAAUGGAAUCACUGUUGAGAAAAGCGAUUAGUUAGUGGCCAAAUACGGGCACGUGGGCCUAAUAGUACCUCAAUGUGAGGUGGGCGAGUCAUGCUUGUAUGGCCGGCGUGCAUAGGCAAAGUUGCCUAAUGCUUGACUUAGCGUGGGAUGCUAUAGAGGUGUAUAGAGUGCUCGAGUGUAGGUACUCGUGGAGUGUGGAUUGGAUCAGCCGGGAGAGUGUGUUGGUGGUAGCACUUGAGCAUCGCUAGGUGUGAAGCAUGCCAAGGAUUACUCGUGGGGCUGAUGGCUCGCACUAGGUGCUUAGGAGAGCCGAUAGUAAUAUGUGUUGCUCGGGUGAGCGUGUCGUGUGAGACGACGGUUGCGGGUAUUGUUUGAGGACGAUCUGUGCCUGGACCACUUGUGGACUGUGGAGGCUGGGCCCUUUGGACAGGCGCAGUCAGCUGUGGGUGACAAUGGCCCGAUGCCUACGGGUAGGGCAGAGUUUUGAUCAGGGCGCUAGUCCGAGUUGAGACCCGGGAGCGUGGAAUGCCACGUGUGGGAUCGAUGCACCCGAGGACUUGACGUGGUUUGGUCUUGGUUGCUCCUGGUUGGAGUGUGUACGAAUUCUCAAGUGAGAAUUUCACCUAGUAGUGAUGAUUGGCUUUGCGCUUGCGAGCGAGAGAUGCUGUGCGUAGUUGAGACAGAUUUAGGCGGUAGGCCUACGUAGAAUGGUGGCCUGUGGCUCACCUGUGGAAACCGAGGAAAGCGGUUUGGAUGAUGACUCUGUCAGUGAAGCUGGUUUGGAUACACGAACAGAGGGUUCGUGUGAGUUCGUUGCAAGAACGGAUUAGUGCUGGCCGUGGCUUAUGAUGUCAAGAUAAAGCGGUCUCUAGGAGACACUUGCAUAAUUGAUAGAUACGAGAGAUUGAGAAUAAUGCUUUCUUGAGAAUUAAAAUUGGAGUUGUGCCGGAGCGAGCCAUCUCGUAGUAGAGCAAGGAUUCGAUUGUGAUGGUAGCACUCGCGAUGGGUCGAUGCACCAAUGAUAUUGCUUCUAAGCAAUGCCGGUGAUCGAAUCGGAGUGUGUUCCCU